AGGCCUUGCGCUCAUUGAGCGGCCGAUAUCAGACUAGCUAGUUGGUGGGGUAAAAGCUCACCAAGGCGACGAUCUGUAGCGGGUCUGAGAGGAUGAUCCGCCACACUGGAACUGAGACACGGUCCAGACUCCUACGGGAGGCAGCAGUGGGGAAUUUUGGACAAUGGGGGCAACCCUGAUCCAGCCAUGCCGCGUGAGUGAAGAAGGCCUUCGGGUUGUAAAGCUCUUUCAGCCGGGAAGAAAACGCAUUGGUUAAUACCUGGUGUGGAUGACGGUACCGGAAUAAGAAGCACCGGCUAACUACGUGCCAGCAGCCGCGGCAAUACGUAGGGUGCGAGCGUUAAUCGGAAUUACUGGGCGUAAAGCGUGCGCAGGCGGUUUUGUAAGAUAGGUGUGAAAUCCCCGGGCUUAACCUGGGAACUGCAUUUAUGACUGCAAGGCUAGAGUACGGCAGAGGGGGGUGGAAUUCCACGUGUAGCAGUGAAAUGCGUAGAGAUGUGGAGGAACACCAAUGGCGAAGGCAGCCCCCUGGGUCGAUACUGACGCUCAUGCACGAAAGCGUGGGUAGCAAACAGGAUUAGAUACCCUGGUAGUCCACGCCCUAAACGAUGUCAACUAGGUGUUGGGUGGGUAAAACCAUUUAGUGCCGGAGCUAACGCGUGAAGUUGACCGCCUGGGGAGUACGGCCGCAAGGUUAAAACUCAAAGGAAUUGACGGGGACCCGCACAAGCGGUGGAUGAUGUGGAUUAAUUCGAUGCAACGCGAAAAACCUUACCUACCCUUGACAUGUCAGGAACUUGCCAGAGAUGGCUUGGUGCUCGAAAGAGAACCUGAACACAGGUGCUGCAUGGCUGUCGUCAGCUCGUGUCGUGAGAUGUUGGGUUAAGUCCCGCAACGAGCGCAACCCUUGUCGUUAAUUGCCAUCAUUUAGUUGGGCACUUUAACGAGACUGCCGGUGACAAACCGGAGGAAGGUGGGGAUGACGUCAAGUCCUCAUGGUCCUUAUGGGUAGGGCUUCACACGUCAUACAAUGGUCGGUACAAAGGGUCGCCAACCCGCGAGGGGGAGCUAAUCCCAUAAAGCCGAUCGUAGUCCGGAUUGCAGGCUGCAACUCGCCUGCAUGAAGUCGGAAUCGCUAGUAGUCGUGGAUCAGCAUGUCACGGUGAAUACGUUCCCGGGUCUUGUACACACCGCCCGUCACACCAUGGGAGCGGGUUCCGCCAGAAGUAGGUAGCCUAACCGCAAGGAGGGCGCUUACCACGGCGGGGUUCGUGACUGGGGUGAAGUCGUAACAAGGUA
This 1299-nucleotide ribosomal RNA is filed under the name metagenome. RNAcentral describes it as "bacterial SSU rRNA". It matches the Rfam family "Bacterial small subunit ribosomal RNA", at positions 208 to 1498 of the family's 1533-position model. The record is from RNAcentral.